RNAcentral lists this ribosomal RNA (7208 nucleotides) under Emiliania huxleyi CCMP1516. RNAcentral's name for it is "28S_rRNA". The stretch from base 451 to 3707 matches the Rfam family "Eukaryotic large subunit ribosomal RNA". The record is from RNAcentral. Lineage: Eukaryota; Haptophyta; Isochrysidales; Noelaerhabdaceae.
ACUCCUGCCGAUGGAUAUCUUGGCUCUCGCAACGAUGAAGAACGCAGCGAAAUGCGAUACGUAGUGCGAAUUGCAGAAUUCAGUGAAUCAUCGAACCUUUGAACGCAAAUGGCGCAUCCGGGCUCCGCUCGGACGCAUGUCUCUUCGAGGGGCGCCUCCAUCCUCCUCGGAGCGAGAGAGCUCUCUCUCUCGUCUCCGGAGCCGGCGGCCGCGCGGGGGAGCCUCGGCCCCCUCGCGCGCCCGCCCAAGGCUGCCUUGCGAGCGCGGCGGCGGCGUCUAACCCGCGUCCCCGCCGGAGUGCUAAGUCCACGACUAGACCUCUGGUGGACGCGUGCCCCGUUCUGCCUCGCGACCCCCGGCGUGCGCGGUGCCUCUCCUCUCCUCCGGGAGAGCGAGGCCCGCCCGCCCCGGCGCGCGGCCGCUCUCUGUGCGGCCGCGCGCCUCGAAACCCGCCAUCGAAUGAGGCAAGACUACCCGCUGAACUUAAGCAUAUCACUAAGCGGAGGAGAAGAAACUAACCAGGAUGCCCCUAGUAAUGGCGAAUGAAGCGGGCUGAGCUCACGCUGCCAAUCUGGAGGCCUCGCGUAUGCAGCGCCCCCCGAAUUGUGGUCUAGAGAGGCGUUAUCGGCCGCGCCCGCUGCUCAAGUCCCUUGGAACAGGGUGUCGGAGAGGGUGAGAAUCCCGUACCGUGGCGGGUUGCGGCCUUACGAUGCGUCCUCGUCGAGUCGGGUUGCUUGGGAUUGCAGCUUGAAUUGGGUGGUAAAUUCCAUCUAAAGCUAAAUACUGGCGAGAGACCGAUAGCGAACAAGUACCGUGAGGGAAAGAUGCAAAGAACUUUGAAAAGAGAGUCAAAGAGUGCUUGAAAUCGGUAGGAGGAAACCCGGAUGGGCCCGGCUUCGGCGCGCCGACUCAGCCUGGGGUUCUCCCCAGGUGCACUUCUGCGCGCCGGGUCAGCCGCGCCUCGGCGCCGCGCCUCAACCCGGGAGCGGGGCUUUACGGCCAGCUCCCGUCCUGGCGCGGCCCGGGGCCCGGCUGACGGAACGGGCCCCUCCGACCCGUCUAGAAACACGGACCAAGGAGUCUGACACGUGUGCGAGUACCCGGGUGGCAAGCCCGCGUGCGGAAUGAAAGUGAAGGGCAUGCCCUGCCAACCGACCUUGACCUGCUGUGAGGGGUUUGAGUGGAGCACACCUGUCGGGACCCGAAAGAUGGUGAACUAUGCCUGGGUAGGGUGAAGCCAGAGGAAACUCUGGUGGAGGCUCGUAGCGAUACUGACGUGCAAAUCGUUCGUCGAAUCUGGGUAUAGGGGCGAAAGACUAAUCGAACCAUCUAGUAGCUGGUUCCCUCCGAAGUUUCCCUCAGGAUAGCUUGAACGCAACGGUUUUGUCAGGUAAAGCGAAUGAUUAGAGGCCUGUGGGCUGAAACAGCUUGCACCUAUUCUCAAACUUUAAAUGGGCAAGAGGCCCGGGAUGCUUGAGUGAUCCCGGGCGGCGAACGGCGCGUUCAAAGUGGGCCAUUUUUGGUAAGCAGAACUGGCGAUGCGGGAUGAACCGAACGCCGCGCUAAGGUACCCAAGUGUCCGCUCAUCAGAUACCACAAAAGGCGUUGGUACCUCCAGACAGCAGGACGGUGGCCAUGGAAGUCGGAACCCGCUAAGGAGUGUGUAACAACUCACCUGCCGAAGGUACUAGCCCUGAAAAUGGAUGGCGCUCAAGCGGACCACCGAUGCGCGGCCGCCGGCGCGAGCGCGAGGCGCCGGCGAGUAGGAGGGCGCGGGGCUCGCGGCGCAGCCUUGGGCGCGAGCCUGGGUGAAGCGGGCCCCGGUGCAGAUCUUGGUGGUAGUAGCAAAUAUUCAAAUGAGAACUUUGAAGACUGAAGUGGAGAAAGGUUCCGUGUGAACAGCAGUUGGACACGGGUGAGCCGACCCUAAGAGACAGGAAAACUCCGCCGAACGCGGCUGGUUCUGUCAGCCCGUCCGUCGAAAGGGAAUCGGGUUAAUAUUCCCGAGCCAGCGCGUGGAUGGUGGGCGGCGACGCGAACGAACCCGGAGACGCCGGCGGGAGCCCUGGGAAGAGUUCUCUUUUCUUCUUAACUGCCUCCUGCCCUGGAAUCGGUUUAGCCGGAGCGAGGGCUACACGGCAGGCAAAGCACCCUAAGUCUUGGGGUGUCCGGCGCGCUCCCGACGGCCCGUGAAAAUCCGGGGGAGCGGUUCGUUCUCACGCCUGGUCGUACUCAUAACCGCAUCAGGUCUCCAAGGUGAACAGCCUCUAGUCGAUAGAGCAAUGUAGGUAAGGGAAGUCGGCAAAAUGGUUCCGCAACCUCGGGAGAAGGAAUGGCUCUGAAGGCUGGGCGCAGGGGUCCUAGGCUCGAGGCCGGCUGGCUGCGCGGGGACUACGGCCUCACGGCUGCGGAUCCCGCGCGGCCGUCCGGCGGACGGCCUAGGAGCGCUCCGGCUCUCCCUGCGCGACGAACAGCCGCUUCAGAACUGGCGCGGACAAGGGGAAUCCGACUGUUUAAUUAAAACAAAGCAUUGCGAUGGCCCGCGAGGGUGCUGACGCAAUGUGAUUUCUGCCCAGUGCUCUGAAUGUCAAAGUGAAGAAAUUCAACCAAGCGCGGGUAAACGGCGGGAGUAACUAUGACUCUCUUAAGGUAGCCAAAUGCCUCGUCAUCCAAUUAGUGACGCGCAUGAAUGGAUUCGUGAGAUUCCCACUGUCCCUAUCUACUGUCUAGCGAAACCACAGCCAAGGGAACGGGCUUGGAAGAAUCAGCGGGGAAAGAAGACCCUGUUGAGCUUGACUCUAGUCUGUUACUGUGGAACGACUUGAUGGGUGUAGAAUAUGCGGGAGGGGCAACCCGACAGUGAAAUACCGCAACCGUCAACGUUGUUUUACUUACUCGGUGGCGCGGAGGGAGGCUCGCCUCACUUCUGGAUCCAAGCCGCUUCGUGCGCGCGAUCCGCGUCGGGGACACUAACAGGUGGGGAGUUUGGCUGGGGCGGCACGUCUGUUAAAAAAUAACGCAGGCGCCCGAUUUUGAGCUCAAUGAGAACAGAAAUCUCAUGUGGACCGAAAGGGGAAAAGCUCGGUUGAUUUUGAUUUUCAGUACGAAUACAAACCGCGAAAGCGUGGCCUAUCGAUCCUCUCGUCUUUGGGAAUUUCAAGCUAGAGGUGUCAGAAAAGUUACCACAGGGAUAACUGGCUUGUGGCUGCCAAGCGUUCAUAGCGACGUAGCUUUUUGAUCCUUCGAUGUCGGCUCUUCCUAUCACUGCCUCGCAGCGGGGGCCAAAUGCAGGAUUGUUCACCCACCAACAGGGAACGUGAGCUGGGUUUAGACCGUCGUGAGACAGGUUAGUUUUACCCUACUGCUGUCUGUUUUUCUACGGUAAUUUGGUUCAGUACGAGAGGAACCACCAAUUCGCAUCAUCGGUAUAGCCGCCGCCGGAAACGGCGAUGCGGCGAAGCUGCCAUGCGCCGGAUUAUAACUGAACGCCUCUAAGUUAGAAUCCAUGCCGGAAGGAAAGCCACCUACCGGCCCGGGGACGCCACGAGCAACGGUAGCACUGCCUGAGCCGCGAGCGACCACAAUUCACGGACCCGGGCCGACGAAUCCCUUGCAGACGACUUGAAUAAGGAACGGGGUAUUGUACGCGGCAGAGUGGCCUUGUUGCCACGAUCCGCUGAGAUUCAGCCUUGGUUCUGACGAUUUGUUGCGCGCGCGCAACAACCCUCAGGGCCUCUCCCGUUCCUCAGUCGCUCUCUCGGCGCUCUCCCCCUCUCGCCUCUCCUCCGAGCCUCACUCGCUCGGGGGCGGAGCCGAGGGGGCGAGAGCGCGAUUUCUGCCCAAGGCAGCGCGCAGGCCACUGCGCAGACACACCCGGCUCUCCCCGAGCCGCCACUGGGCGCUCCCGCGGUCCCCUCCGGGCUGAAUGCGGCCUCCGGAGCGGGCGGCGCGAGCGUCUAAGUCUACUCAGAGCCUUCCACGCUCUUCUUUGCGUUCCGAAGCACACACCGCGCUCCUCUGUAGUGCAUCGCCCGGCCAACUCGCUUGCCACUGUCAUUGCCCCCGCCGCCCUCUCACUGUGGCCGCCCUGUACCGUUACCUCCACCGCCCUCGCCCUCGCCACCGCCCCCACGCCGCCGCUACCAUUCCGGCCAUCGCCGCCCCCACCCUCAUCCCCACCUUGCCCCCGCCGCCCGUUGCAGCUGCAAUCCCCACCGAAGGCGGACGCCGGUGCCGCCCUCGAGCUCGACGCCCCUUCGUGCUUCGCCGCCCGGCGCGGUCCCAUCCGGGCUGAAUGCGGCCUCCAAUCUCGUGUCGGCCUGCCGCCGCCCUCGCCUUCAGCCGUCCCGCCACCCUCACCGCCACAGCCCUCCUCACCACCGUCUCCACCGCCGCUGCUCUCACCACCCUCGCCACCACCACCACGCCCGCCUCCCUCGCUGCCACCCACGCCGCCGCCACCGCCCCCACCCGCUCCGCUGCCCUCGCCCUUGCCGUCACCGCGCCGCGAGAUCUCUUACACUAUCCCCCGCCCUUGCCCCAGCCCUUGCCUGCCGCCGCCCUCGCCGCCGCCCUCGCCGCCGCCCUCGCCGCCCCCCUCGCCGCCGGGGCCCGCCCUCGCAGCCACGGCACCCUUGCCCCCUCCACCCUCCUCUCCGCCACAGCUNNNNNNNNNNNNNNNNNNNNNNNNNNNNNNNNNNNNNNNNNNNNNNNNNNNNNNNNNNNNNNNNNNNNNNNNNNNNNNNNNNNNNNNNNNNNNNNNNNNNUCAUCCCCACCAUCGGUUCUAACUUCUACUCAACUGCGACUACUUUACUCUAUGCGCCGAGAGAGGACGAAUAUCUCUCGAAAAACGAUACGGGGUGUGGAGGGUGAGUUGACCAGGGGUUGUGCGCUGGGCCCUCCUGCUCGGCUCCAGCCAGUAGACAAGUCUUGUCAUCAACAGAGUAGAUGGAUCUGACCUCAGGGCCGAUGUGACCAAGCGCUGGUAGCGUGGUUUAACCUUACACCCAUGAUCUCACAGUGUGCCGGCAGUCGCCGAGCAGUGUCGCUCACACAAGCCGCAGCACAAGUGACUGAGGGCCAGUGAGGGCGAGCCCAUCGCUGUCACAGCUGUGGCAGCCGCACAGUAGGCUGUGUCAACUGUGCAGAGUGUGUGAGCAGCAGAGGAGCUGCUCUCCAGGCUUCAGGCGCAAAGAGCUGCAUGCCACCGAAGGCGCUGUCGAGGUUCGCCGAGCGCGGCGCAGUUGGAGGAAGCCGCCGCCGACGAGCGUAGAGCGCUGGUCGGAUUCACUCGCCGCGGGGACACGACCCAUAGCCGUGGCCGUGUCCCCGUGAUGGCCGCGAGGCGCGGGACCGUCUGUGGCGAAGUGGGUCGCGUCCUCCGAUUUCCGUGAACUCACUACUCAGCAACCACACCCUCUUCUAUCUCUUAACCCUGGUAGGUGGAUUGUCCAAAAUACGUCAGCCUCGCACGCCUAGCGCUAGGUCUGACACCCGACCGCCCCCCCCUCCCUAAUAUUAACCGGUCAGAGUACAUUUUGGCCGGCUAAUGUUAGGGAGGGGAGGCCCAAAAAUGCAUAUUUUUGUCCACCUACCAGGGUUAAUCAGCUGGACCGAAUUUUACCAAGUUGGACGCCGUUGGACGUAGCUCUUUGUGUUGCGAUGCUUCCUGGCGAGAGAGUGCUGGGCUUUCCGGCCCACACUCGGCUCUUGAGGCAUUUAUCGGCAUCUUAAUAUGCCGUAGGGACACACAGCAAGGAGUAGUGUCUACGCGCGCACACGCCCGAGUGCCAAUUUGGCUACGGGUUAGGGUUGCGUUGUCCUAACGCCUCCGUCCGUCCUGGACGGGCGUUGGCGCGUGCAUAUCCCACCGCUAGCUAGCGACACUAUUGCUAAUGCUGGCCUCGUCCCCUCAAUCAAGUCGAGCAGCUUGGCCUUGCCAUACGGUUCGACUGCUCAGACAUUGGAGGAGACAAGGGGAUGGUGGUGGGUAGAAGAAUGCGGAACGAGCAGCCAGAAGCAGUCGCGCGAGUCAGAGUCGGGCACGAGACGUCGAGCAUUGAAACCAUCCGUAAAGGUUUCGUGCGACCGUCCCCAGUACAGGAUUCCCCUGUACAGGGUGUGAACAUCGUGCACUCGAUGGUUUUCCCCGGCCCAUGCCGGGUACUCUCCAGUCGAAUCUGACGUUUGGCUACACUAGUAGAGCCGUGGGCUCAUUUCACGUAGCUCUUUGUGUUGCGAUGCUUCCUGGCGAGAGAGUGCUGGGCUUUCCGGCCCACACUCGGCUCUUGAGGCAUUUAUCGGCAUCUUAAUAUGCCGUAGGGACACACAGCAAGGAGUAGUGUCUACGCGCGCACACGCCCGAGUGCCAAUUUGGCUACGGGUUAGGGUUGCGUUGUCCUAACGCCUCCGUCCGUCCUGGACGGGCGUUGGCGCGUGCAUAUCCCUUCCGGUGCUUGCGUGACGCCCAGCGACUACCGCGCUCCGGCAUCCUUGCAUGUCCCUACUGGGUGGGUGGGUCGUGGCCCGCGCGCCAUCGCGCGGGAUUAUUGCGCCUCUCGCUCCCUCGAGCGGGCGCCCCCCCUUUUCCCAUUACGGGCCCGUCGCGCUCCGCGCACCAGGACAGGCCCAUAUUCCACGCCCCUCGGCGUUACGCCAUCUCAUGGCCUUACUGGUAGUACCUAGCUCUCCCUCGAGCUACACUACCUCGUGCUCCGCACGACCUCGCGCUCCGCACGAGUAACCACACCACGCCCGCCUCUCCGGACGGCACAUGCCCUUGCGGGUGUGGAGUGCAUAUACCGUGCACUGUCCGCCCUUCCCGCGUCGUGCCGCCAGUGGCCCGUGUCGCGGUAUGAAGGGAGAUGGACCAGAGGUGGGCGCUCCGGCCGUCCCUCCUGGCCAGCGCCACCAUAGCGCUGGCACCCAGCCGUCGGCCCCCGAGGGCGUCGGGCGACGACUAGCCUCUCCGGGCUCGCUGUCUGUCGCCCACCCUUCCGCGCCGAAGCCCGUACUCGUGUGACGAGACCGUGCGACGCCGGCUCCAUGCCAGCGCCGCAAUGGAGUUGGGCGCUCCGGCCGUCCCUCCAGGCCAGCCUCACCGCUGGGCCCCGGCCGUCGGCCCCUCGUGCGGGCGUCGGGCUACAGCUAACCUCUCCGGGCUCGCUGUCUGUCGCCCACCCUUCCGCGCCGAAGCACGUACUCGUGU